RNAcentral lists this ribosomal RNA (236 nucleotides) under uncultured bacterium. RNAcentral's name for it is "partial 16S ribosomal RNA". It matches the Rfam family "Bacterial small subunit ribosomal RNA", at positions 103 to 334 of the family's 1533-position model. The record is from RNAcentral.
CGGGUGAGUAACACGUAGGUGACCUGCCCUGAAGAGGGGGAUAACAGCCCGAAAGGGUUGCUAAUACCCCAUGUGAUUGAUAAUUCAAUUUGUCAAUUAAAGGUUCCGAAAGGAGUCCGCUUUGGGAGGGGCCUGCGGCCCAUCAGGUUGUUGGUGGGGUAAUGGCCUACCAAGCCGAUGACGGGUAGCUAGUCUGAGAGGACGAUUAGCCACACUGGCACUGACACACGGGCCAG